RNAcentral lists this ribosomal RNA (428 nucleotides) under uncultured bacterium. RNAcentral describes it as "bacterial SSU rRNA". It matches the Rfam family "Bacterial small subunit ribosomal RNA", at positions 372 to 793 of the family's 1533-position model. The record is from RNAcentral.
UGGGGGAAACCCUGAUGCAGCCAUGCCGCGUGUGUGAAGAAGGCCUUCGGGUUGUAAAGCACUUUCAGUAGGGAGGAAGGUAGUGUAGUUAACACCUGCAUUAUUUGACGUUACCUACAGAAGAAGCACCGGCUAACUCCGUGCCAGCAGCCGCGGUAAUACGGAGGGUGCGAGCGUUAAUCGGAAUUACUGGGCGUAAAGCGCAUGCAGGCGGCCUGUUAAGUCAGAUGUGAAAGCCCGGGGCUUAACCUCGGAAUUGCAUUUGAAACUGGCAGGCUAGAGUCUUGUAGAGGGGGUAGAAUUUCAGGUGUAGCGGUGAAAUGCGUAGAGAUCUGAAGGAAUACCAGUGGCGAAGGCGGCCCCCUGGACAAAGACUGACGCUCAGAUGCGAAAGCGUGGGGAGCAAACAGGAUUAGAUACUCUGGUAG